ACUAUUAAAAUCUAUAAAUAUGUUGUGUUAUUGUUACAGUUGUUUUUGUAGUUGUUAUUACAAACAUAAUUGUUUUUAUUUAUUUCAUUCGCAUAUGUUGUGAUUUUUGUGUUUCAACAAUCUUAAUUAUCAUUUUUGAUACAGCACUUGUGUUCUGUUUUAGCCGACAUGUAAAGCGCUUUGAGAUACUGCGGUAUUGAAAAGGCGAUAUACAAAUACAAUUAAAAUGUAAACUAUGCAAUGUGAUGUCUUUCAAGACCUAAUUGGUGAACAAUAUGUCGCCGUUAUCGUAAAAUAAUGUUAACUUAUGUGACGUUGCCAAUAGUAAGAGAACAAACACUUUCUAGUGUUUGACUUUCCAAGCACGUCGAAAGUAGAAAGUGACGUGCAUUCCACGUUGCCAUAGAGGUUCCCAUGGUUACAAGUACACAAUCAAGAUGUCUGCCUUUAUGAACUGGAGCUGUGAGUCUCUAAAUGGAUAGAAUCUUUAGGAUAUCAACAGUAUACGGCAUGUUUCACAGAAAACUAUAUCAAUGGUAGAAAAUUAAUCUUGGUUAAUUGCGCCACACUUCCCAGACUUGGAGUCACAGACUUCAAAGAUAUGAAGGUACGGAUUUUUGUAGUUUCAUUGUAAUAAAAAUGAUUUGGAGCUCACUCCGGAGUAUUUAUCGAUACACCUAUCCCACAGCAGAGCCAUUAAAAAGUUAAAAAAAAAAAAAAAAAAAAAGUGUCUAACUCCCUCAUAACGCGCUCGGAUUCUGCUGCAAUCAAAUUCGAUGUUUUUGUGUGUGUGUGUGUGUGCUGUUUGCUCUGCCUUUGUUGAUAGUUUAUAUAGGGUUGCAAAUCUGGAGAUCUGGCUACUAUUCUGUAAUUAGCCUCUUUUUUUGAAAAGUAGCCCAGUUUUUGGCAUCGAUAGCCCCCUUUUUUUAAUUAGCCCAGUUUUUCAAAUCGAUAGCCCCUUUUUUGUUGGAAAAAAAUCAAUAGAUUAAUAAAAGCUCAUAGUUUCAGGGUUCCAAGGAUUGCUAAUGUAUACCAUGAUGGUCACGCUUCACACUGAAACCCCCAUCUAUGUUCAGAGUAGCACAUUGCUGUAGUGGAUGCUUGAUUUUGUUUGCCUUUGUUACUGUGCAGGUCAAAGCUGGUCAGAACUGCAUACAGCGUUCAGAUAAUGUAUUUGUCCAUCUAGAAUGCCACUUCCUGACGCCUGGAGGAAUAGCAAGUGUAAAUGUAGCAGUAAUACUAUAGGGACCUUAGUGUAGGAAUUGUAUUACAUGUCUCAGAAAAAUAAAACCAGUCCUCCGUUGUAUCUCUAAGGCAAUUUCUGGUCACAUUGGUGAGCUGCUUGAAAUUCUGGACCCCCGUGGGAGCCGAAGCAUUGCAUUGCCCCCCGUGAAACCAAGGCGGUUAUUUUUUUGAGGAAAAGAGUCGAACAGGAUCGACAGCUGAUUCUCUUACGUAUAUCCCGUUUUUUAAAGAAAGGGGCUUAGAUGAAUACACUUAAAAUAAAUGAUGUAAUGUUCUUCAUCUAAA
Long non-coding RNA from Acipenser ruthenus (sterlet), 1530 nucleotides. RefSeq lists it as uncharacterized. The record is from RefSeq and is a predicted model, not a curated record. The transcript has 2 exons. Lineage: Eukaryota; Metazoa; Chordata; Actinopteri; Acipenseriformes; Acipenseridae.